This 1261-nucleotide long non-coding RNA is filed under the name Homo sapiens (human). RNAcentral's name for it is "HSALNT0385451". The record is from RNAcentral. Lineage: Eukaryota; Metazoa; Chordata; Mammalia; Primates; Hominidae.
GCGGGGGCGCGCGCGUGGUUAGCGGGCAGCGAGGGUCGCCUGGGCGGUGCGCAGCACGGCGGGAACAUGGCGCGCGGAACCGGCGCGCGCGCCUAGCUGGCGGGACCGUUAGAUCGAGGCGGAUGCGGCCCGGACCCCGUGGAUAUGGAGCAGUCGCCGCCGCUGGCGCCGGAGCCCACCCAAGGGCCAACCACCGCAAGGAGCUGAAGGCGGCGGGAGCCCGAGUCGCCGCCGGCGUCGGUGCCGGCUUUUCUGGCUUUGCCCGCCCAGCUGCUCCAUGCCAGGAGGAGGAGGAGACACCUAGAGCCUGCGACACCAUGGCUCGCCUCGCUGCAGCCGAGCAUGGUGGUUCACACCUGUAAUCUCAGCACAUUGGGAGGCCGAGGCGGGUGGAUCAUGAGGUCAAGAGAUCGAGACAAUCCUGGCCAACAUGGUGAAACCCCAUCUCUACUAAAAAUACAAAAAAUUAGCCGGGUGUGGUGCUGCGUGCCUGUAGUCCCAGCUACUGGAGAGGCUGAGGCAGGAGAAUUGCUUGAACCCAGGAGGCAAAGGUUGCAGCAAGCUGAGAUCGCACCACUGCACUCCAGCCUGGUGAUAGACCGAGACUCCAUCUCAAAAAAACAAAAAAAAAAUUAAAUUACUUUGUAUACAUAAAGUUCUAAUUUUUUAAAAAAUUGUAAAAUAUCCUAUACGUUCAUUAGUAUUACUUAUUUGUUUUUAUCACUCCAUCAAUGUGAGGCAUAAAUAAAAUUUGUUAAGUUAAAACUUUCGGUGUACUUUCAUUCAUUUAUUUAUUUAUUUUGAGACAGUUUCGCUCUAUCAUCCAGGCUGGAGUAUAGUGGCAUGAUCUCGGCUCACUGCAACCUCCGCCUCCAAGGCUCAAGUGAUUCUCGUGCCUCAGCCUUCCAAGUAGCUGGGACUACAGGCAUGCACCACCAUGCCUGGCUAAUUUUUAAAAGUCCUAUAUCAUAUAAGAACAUUAGAGUUCUGGGAUUAUUUUUUGUUUGUUUAAGAGACAGGGUCUCACUGUAUUACGCAGGCUGGGGUGCAGUGAUGUGAUCAUAGCUCACUGUAGCCUGGAACUCCUGAGCAAAGCAAUUCUCCCUCCUCAGCCUCCCCAGUAGCUGGGACUACAGGUGCUUGCCACAAUGCCCAGCUAGUUUUUAAAUUUUCUGUAGAUAUAGGUCUCACUGUGUUGCCUAGUCUGGUUUCAAACUCCUGGCCUCAAGGGAUCCUCCCCACUUGGCUUCCCAAAGUGCUA